This 687-nucleotide ribosomal RNA is filed under the name uncultured bacterium. RNAcentral describes it as "bacterial SSU rRNA". It matches the Rfam family "Bacterial small subunit ribosomal RNA", at positions 46 to 749 of the family's 1533-position model. The record is from RNAcentral.
GUCGACGGGAUAUGCGAGAUGAAGUUUUCGGAUGGAAUUUUGUAUACUUUAGUGGCGGACGGGUGAGUAACACGUGAGCAACCUGCCUUCGAGAGGGGAAUAACGGCUGGAAACGGUCGCUAAUACCGCAUAACAUACAGGAGGGACAUCCCUUUUGUAUCAAAGAUUUAUCGCUCGAAGAUGGGCUCGCGUCCGAUUAGGUAGUUGGUGAGGUAACGGCCCACCAAGCCGACGAUCGGUAGCCGGACUGAGAGGUUGAACGGCCACAUUGGGACUGAGACACGGCCCAGACUCCUACGGGAGGCAGCAGUGGGGGAUAUUGCACAAUGGGGGAAACCCUGAUGCAGCGACGCCGCGUGUAGGAAGACGGUCCUCUGGAUUGUAAACUACUGUCCCCAGGGACGAAGAUGACGGUACCUGGGGAGGAAGCUCCGGCUAACUACGUGCCAGCAGCCGCGGUAAUACGUAGGGAGCGAGCGUUGUCCGGAAUUACUGGGUGUAAAGGGAGCGUAGGCGGGGAUGCAAGUUGGGUGUUAAAUCUACCGGCUCAACUGGUAGUCGCACUCAAAACUGCAGCUCUUGAGUGAAGUAGAGGCAGGCGGAAUUCCUAGUGUAGCGGUGAAAUGCGUAGAUAUUAGGAGGAACACCAGUGGCGAAGGCGGCCUGCUGGGCUUUUACUGACGCUGA